This 81-nucleotide transfer RNA is filed under the name Sphagnurus paluster. Its description in RNAcentral is "Tephrocybe palustris tRNA". It matches the Rfam family "tRNA". From Rfam's summary of the family: Transfer RNA (tRNA) molecules are approximately 80 nucleotides in length. Their secondary structure includes four short double-helical elements and three loops (D, anti-codon, and T loops). Further hydrogen bonds mediate the characteristic L-shaped molecular structure. tRNAs have two regions of fundamental functional importance: the anti-codon, which is responsible for specific mRNA codon recognition, and the 3' end, to which the tRNAs corresponding amino acid is attached (by aminoacyl-tRNA synthetases). tRNAs cope with the degeneracy of the genetic code in two manners: having more than one tRNA (with a specific anti-codon) for a particular amino acid; and 'wobble' base-pairing, i.e. permitting non-standard base-pairing at the 3rd anti-codon position. The record is from Rfam by way of RNAcentral. Lineage: Eukaryota; Fungi; Basidiomycota; Agaricomycetes; Agaricales; Lyophyllaceae.
GGUUCUAUAGUGUAGUGGUUAUCACUCGAGAUUCUGAUUCGCGGAAUUCUCGAAACCCAGGUUCGAGCCCUGGUAGGACCU